This 270-nucleotide ribosomal RNA is filed under the name Triticum aestivum (bread wheat). Its description in RNAcentral is "partial small subunit ribosomal RNA". Lineage: Eukaryota; Viridiplantae; Streptophyta; Magnoliopsida; Poales; Poaceae. The record is from RNAcentral.
AUGGAUUAUAUUCAUACUACUACUUGGUCAGCGAGGGGCUCGGUGUGGGAAUGGUGGAAUGAAAACGUAUAUCUUCGUUCCGAAUCCUCCAAGGCGCUUGCCUCACACAUAAUUCUAAUCUCCUGGGAAAUUUGGAUGGAGCGCAAUACUAGAGUUUUCUGCAACACGGCCGCACCAACGAUGAUCGUCAUUAGUAAAAUAAAAGGGGAGUUGUCGCUUUGGGAGUUGGCGGGCGCCAAGCAUUUGAAUACUGUAAUGCCGCGAGAGUAG